AGGGUGUAAACGCUGCAGACUUGGUGUUGGAAGCCCUUUGGGGGCAUUCAGUGCCGGAGAGAAGUUGUUAAGUCUGCUACUUGGGGAGUACGUCCGCAAGGAUGAAACUUAAAGGAAUUGGCGGGGGAGCACCGCAACGGGAGGAGCGUGCGGUUUAAUUGGAUUCAACACCGUAAAACUCACCAGGGAAGACUGUUACAUGAAGGCCGAGAUGAAGACUCUGCUAGAUUUUCAGAGAGGUGGUGCAUGGCGUCAGUG
RNAcentral lists this ribosomal RNA (258 nucleotides) under uncultured archaeon. RNAcentral's name for it is "partial 16S ribosomal RNA". It matches the Rfam family "Archaeal small subunit ribosomal RNA", at positions 748 to 1005 of the family's 1478-position model. The record is from RNAcentral.